CACACCGCCCGUCACAUCACGAAAGUAGGUUGUACUAGAAGUAGCUGGGCCAACUCGCAAGAGAGGCAGGUUACCACGGUAUGAUUUAUGGUUGGGGUG
RNAcentral lists this ribosomal RNA (99 nucleotides) under uncultured bacterium. RNAcentral describes it as "partial 16S ribosomal RNA". It matches the Rfam family "Bacterial small subunit ribosomal RNA", at positions 1386 to 1482 of the family's 1533-position model. The record is from RNAcentral.